Long non-coding RNA from Stomoxys calcitrans (stable fly), 2149 nucleotides. RefSeq lists it as uncharacterized. The record is from RefSeq and is a predicted model, not a curated record. NCBI's taxonomy places the organism in Eukaryota, Metazoa, Arthropoda, Insecta, Diptera, Muscidae. The transcript is spliced from 3 exons.
AUUAAUGAAAUAUGCAACUUUCAACUUCAAUGACAGGCUUACGUUCAGAAUGUUUAUUUGCAAUGAGAUAUUCGCCGUUGAAAAGUUAAUCAACUUCAAAAAGAUGUUCACCUUUAAAGAGAUGUUCUUCAAUAAAAUUAUUAAUUAUGAAAUAUUUUUCAAUUCAAUGAGAGGUUUGCGUUCAAUGAAAUGUCCAUUUUCUAUGAAGUGUUUAACUACAAAGAGAUGUUCGUCGUUGAAGAGUUAUUCAACUUCAAAAAGAUGUUCACCUUCAAAGUUAUUCAACUUCAGCUAGAUGUUCUUCAAUGAAAUAUUCAGUUGCAAUAAGUGGUUCACGUUCAAUGAAAUGUCCAUCUUCUAUGAAAUGGUUAGUUGCAAUGAGAUGUUCGCCGUUGAAGAGUUAUUCAACUCAAAAAGAUGUUCACUUUCAAAGAGUUAUUCAACUUCAGAUAAAUGAUCUUUAAUGAAAUAUUCAACUUCAAUGAAGGGUGUAUGUUUAAUAAAAUGUCCAUCUUCUUUGAAAUGUUUACUAUAAUGAGAUGUUCGCCGUUGAAGAGUUAUUCAACUUGAAAAAGAUUUUCACCUUUAAGGAGAUAGUUAUCUUCAAAGAGUUGUACAACUUCAACUAGAUGUUCCUUAAUGAAAUAUUCGACUUCAAUAAGAGAAUGGCGUUCAAUGAAAUGUCCAUCUUCUAUGAAAUAUUUAACUGCAAUAAGAUGCUCACCGUUGAAGAGUUAUUCAACUUCAAAGAUUUAUUCAACUUCAACAAAAUUUUAAUGAGAUAUUGUAUUUCGUCUUUAAAAUUUACACUUUUAAAGCGUUCUGCAUCUUUAAAGAGUUAUUUAACUUCAAUGAGAUGUUCGCCUUCAAAAGGGAUGUCUAACUUCACUAAGUUGUUCGGCUUAGAAGCCAUGUUCAUCUUGAAUGUGAAGUUUAGCUUCAAUAAGAAUGUAAUGUUCACUUUAAAGGUUUUCCUACAUGAUUAGUUAUCGCACAUAGUUUUGAAUAAUGGAUAAAAAAGACUUUGACUCAACUCAACUUUGACUUUCUUAUACAACAUACUUUGAAAAAAGCGGCUUAAAAUUUAAAAAGAAAAUGGAUACAUCGAAUAGUAAACGUGAAAAUCCUUUGAAAUUUAAAUGAUUCUUCAAAGUCAACGAGUCUUUAGGAAUACAGUUGUAACUUCAUAUUAAGAAAGUUGUAAACUGAUGAAUAAGGAAGAUCUAAGAUAUCCUUGAACAAGUAUGAUGUAUAAGUUCAUGCAUAAAUUUGCUGCAUAGUAAGGAUACUUCAACUAGAAGGAGAAGGAAUAUUAAGGCGAUGUUAAACAGGAAUGAUGUAUAUGGAUGUGUAUACAUAUACAUAAUAUCUGUUUUAUAGUCUCCUCAAUUUGAGAAAAAUUUAUAAAGGUCUGACAGGAAUUGAUUGGAUUGUAAAACAGACCGAAAUAAAAAUUUCCAGGAAAUGAAAUUGAGCUGCUCUAAGAAAAAGGAAGGAACGAGAAGCUUCAGAAACUGUCUGGAACUUGAAAUAUGAACGUUUUAUGAGUCUUUAGAUGGGAAAAAGCUGAAGUUUUCAAGAAAAAAGGGGAACUUCAUCAAUUAUCUAGACCUUGAAUGGAGGCGUAUAUAUGGAACUUGAGAUGGAACAAAGUCCAGAGGUAAAAAAGAAACUCCAACAAUUAUCUGAACCAUAAAAGGAGGCAGAUGGAGCAAAGCUGAAAUUCACAGGUGAAAAUGGUAAUCCAAUAAUUAUCUGGAUCUUGAAAGGUGGCAGUUUUAUGGAACUUUAGAAGAAGCGAAUUUGAAAUCCACAGGUAAAAAAGGAACUUCAACAAUUAUCUAGCAGUUUUAUGGAACUUCAGAUAAAGAGAAGUUGAAAUUCUGAAAUGGAAAAGGAACUUCAACAAUUAUCUGGUCCUUAAAAGGUGGCAGUUUUAUGGAACUUUAGAUGAAGUAAAGCCGAACUUCUAUUAUGAUCAGUUGCUUAAAAUCUGGCAGUUUAUGGAAUUUCAGAUGAAACACUGCGGAAGAGCUGAUGAUUUUACUUCUGAUGCGGAAAAUAUGCUUUAAUGACUAUGAAUCUAAAACAGGAAAUUGGCCUUAAUUUUGCAUCUAUCAGACUAAAGUCAACAAGCAGAGAUUAAAAG